UAUAGAUGAUGAAAAUUGAGACUUGGACCUAGAACGGAAAGAAAUCGAUUUAUGGACGAGUAUGUCCUUUUCACAUUUGUGGUAUCGAGAGUUCCAGGUUAGCUCGGGUUGGAGGCCGUCGGAGAUAUUAUCACCCUAUCGAGUUAACGUUAUCGGAGUAAGUAAACUCAAGUGAUUCGAGUCUAUGGCAUGUAUAGGGUUUUAAUGUGAGUAUGUAAUAUUAUGAUUUAGCCAAAGGCAUUGGCUUGUUAUUAAGGUAGUAUUAGUCAUGUAAAUUGGCCUAUGUCGGCUAAUGACGUUAUGGGCCCAUAUGAUUAUUCUUAUGCAUUUAUGUUAUUAUUUCUUGUGAUGUGGCUUACAACAUGUAUGCCUAGAGAUUGAAUUGAGAUUCAUUGAUGAGCUAGUAACUAAUGCAGGAUUAAGUGAUUGGUAAAUAGUUAAUAA
Molecule: long non-coding RNA, 444 nt
Organism: Gossypium arboreum
Lineage: Eukaryota; Viridiplantae; Streptophyta; Magnoliopsida; Malvales; Malvaceae
Exons: 2
Source: RefSeq, a predicted model, not a curated record